RNAcentral lists this transfer RNA (73 nucleotides) under Ectropothecium pacificum. RNAcentral's name for it is "tRNA-Pro". It matches the Rfam family "tRNA". Rfam says of the family: Transfer RNA (tRNA) molecules are approximately 80 nucleotides in length. Their secondary structure includes four short double-helical elements and three loops (D, anti-codon, and T loops). The record is from RNAcentral. Lineage: Eukaryota; Viridiplantae; Streptophyta; Bryopsida; Hypnales; Pylaisiaceae.
UGGAGCAUGGCGUAGUUUGGUAACGUUCCCUCUUGGGGCAUGGGGGUCGGGGGUUCAAACCCCCCUGCCCCAA